Molecule: long non-coding RNA, 2016 nt
Organism: Mizuhopecten yessoensis (Yesso scallop)
Lineage: Eukaryota; Metazoa; Mollusca; Bivalvia; Pectinida; Pectinidae
Exons: 2
Source: RefSeq, a predicted model, not a curated record
CCUACAUGGUAUAGGUAUUGUAGCAUAAUACACCUACAUGGUAUAGGUAUUGUAGCGUAAUACACCUACAUGUACCAUACAUGUAGCGUAAUACACCUACAUGUACCAUAUAUAGGUAUAUUACACUACACCUACUGUAGCACGAUACACCUACUUUAGCAUGAUACACCUACAUGGUAUAGGUAUUGAAGCAUGAUACACCUACAUGGUAUAGGUAUUGUAGCAUGAUACACCUACAUGGUAUAGGUAUUGUAGCAUAAUACACCUACAUGGUAUAGGUAUUGUAGCAUGAUACACCUACAUGGUAUAGGUAUUGUAGCAUAAUACACCUACAUGGUAUAGGUAUUGUAGCAUAAUACACCUACAUGGUAUAGGUAUUGUAGCAUAAUACACCUACAUGGUAUAGGUAUUGUAGCAUAAUACACCUACAUGGUAUAGGUAUUGUAGCAUAAUACACCUACAUGGUAUAGGUAUUGUAGCAUAAUACACCUACAUGGUAUAGGUAUUGUAGCAUAAUACACCUACAUGGUAUAGGUAUUGUAGCAUAAUACACCUACAUGGUAUAGGUAUUGUAGCAUAAUACACCUACAUGGUAUAGGUAUUGUAGCAUAAUACACCUACAUGGUAUAGGUAUUGUAGCAUAAUACACCUACAUGGUAUAGGUAUUGUAGCAUAAUACACCUACAUGGUAUAGGUAUUGUAGCAUAAUACACCUACAUGGUAUAGGUAUUGUAGCAUAAUACACCUACAUGGUAUAGGUAUUGUAGCGUAAUACACCUACAUGGUAUAGGUAUUGUAGCGUAAUACACCUACAUGGUAUAGGUAUUGUAGCAUGAUACACCUACAUGGUAUAGGUAUUGUAGCUCAAUACACCUACUGUAGCAUGAUUCACCUACUGUAGCAUGAUACACCUACAUGAUAUAGGUAUUGUAGCAUGAUACACCUACUGUAGCAUGAUACACCUACAUGGUAUAGGUAUUGUAGCGUAAUACACCUACAUGGUAUAGGUAUUGUAGUGUAAUACAUCUUAUCAUAUAAGUAUUGUAGUGUAAUACAUCUUUAUCAUAUAGGUAUUGUAGUGUAAUACAUCUUUAUCAUAUAAGUAUUGUAGUGUAAUACACCUAUAUCGUAUAGGUAUUGUAGUGUUAUACACUUAUAACGCUCACCAUGACUUUUAAGCAAUUAUGGCAAAAUGUUCUCAUUCACUGAAAUUGCAAGCAUUGCCUGAUUUUGGGUCUCACCUUUCAACACUUUAAGGGGUAAAACACCCUUCCUUUAUAUGGUAUCUGAUUCCCUGGGACAAAGGAUGAUACAUAGGAAAUGUUCUUGAAAUAUUGUCAAUUGUUCAGAAGGAGUAGGCUGAAAAUGCUCAAUUACCAACAUUUGAACUAAGUCUACACUUUUCUUUUACACAAAACUUGAAUACCAGGACCAAUGAUGUUUUGUUGAGAUCUGUGUAAAUGUAGAAAUGAAAUCCCAGUUGUUUCACAAACAUGAAACUAAGUUCUGAUGGGAGGGCCAAAUCACUGAGCCAAUCUUUGUAGCAUGAUGGUGUGGUAAAGUGCGAGGAUCUCAACAAUAUUCAAGUUAUUACUCCAUUUUGGCCCCACAACCAAGCCCCCAGGAGGUCUAAUCCUUCAUUUGUACAAUAAAGGAUGCUUCCAGUCUGGUUUUGAAGAAGUCAUUUGAAGAAACUGUUGAUGGACGACAGAUGCCUUUCUAUAAAAAGGUUGAGCUCAAACUUAUUUCACCAGUAACACUGACAGAACUAUAUUUAACGUAUCAGUACCCUGGAAAUGAAGGAGGUCAUUAAUGAUAAUAAUGAUCAGUAUAAUCAUGCUAUCUUACAGGUCACACCAUCAUGCAUGCUUUGUUGUGUAGCUUUCAAAGGGAUAUAUCAAUUCUGUAGUCCAUAUCAUAUACUCAUCAAAGAUAUUGCACAAGUUGUUGUAAUUAUGACCACUUCCGGUAAGGAGAUCACUUUCACAGUGACUAUAAGUAAGUAUAUUUGUAUCU